RNAcentral lists this ribosomal RNA (479 nucleotides) under uncultured bacterium. RNAcentral describes it as "partial 16S ribosomal RNA". It matches the Rfam family "Bacterial small subunit ribosomal RNA", at positions 28 to 507 of the family's 1533-position model. The record is from RNAcentral.
GAUGAACGCUAGCGGGAGGCCUAACACAUGCAAGCCGAGCGGUAGAGUUUCUUCGGAAACUUGAGAGCGGCGCACGGGUGCGUAACACGUGUGCAACCUACCUUUAUCUGGGGGAUAGCCUUUCGAAAGGAAGAUUAAUGCCCCAUAAUAUAAUGAUUGGCAUCAAUUAUUAUUGAAAACUCCGGUGGAUAGAGAUGGGCACGCGCAAGAUUAGAUAGUUGGUGAGGUAACGGCUCACCAAGUCAAUGAUCUUUAGGGGUCCUGAGAGGGAGAUCCCCCACACUGGUACUGAGACACGGACCAGACUCCUACGGGAGGCAGCAGUGAGGAAUAUUGGACAAUGGGUGAGAGCCUGAUCCAGCCAUCCCGCGUGAAGGAUGACGGUCCUAUGGAUUGUAAACUUCUUUUGUACAGGGAUAAACCUACCCUCGUGAGGGUAGCUGAAGGUACUGUACGAAUAAGCACCGGCUAACUCCGUG